AUUGAACGCUGGCGGCAGGCCUAACACAUGCAAGUCGAACGGCAGCACGGGAGCUUGCUCCUGGUGGCGAGUGGCGGACGGGUGAGUAAUAUAUCGGAACGUGCCCAGUCGUGGGGGAUAACGCAGCGAAAGCUGUGCUAAUACCGCAUACGAUCUAUGGAUGAAAGCGGGGGAUCGCGAGACCUCGCGCGAUUGGAGCGGCCGAUAUUAGAUUAGCUAGUUGGUGAGGUAAAGGCUCACCAAGGCGACGAUCUGUAGCUGGUCUGAGAGGACGACCAGCCACACUGGAACUGAGACACGGUCCAGACUCCUACGGGAGGCAGCAGUGGGGAAUUUUGGACAAUGGGCGAAAGCCUGAUCCAGCAAUGCCGCGUGCAGGAUGAAGGCCUUCGGGUUGUAAACUGCUUUUGUACGGAACGAAACGGUGAGCUCUAAUACAGUUUGCUAAUGACGGUACCGUAAGAAUAAGCACCGGCUAACUACGUGCCAGCCGCCGCAGUAA
This 502-nucleotide ribosomal RNA is filed under the name uncultured bacterium. RNAcentral's name for it is "partial 16S ribosomal RNA". It matches the Rfam family "Bacterial small subunit ribosomal RNA", at positions 30 to 523 of the family's 1533-position model. The record is from RNAcentral.